Molecule: ribosomal RNA, 434 nt
Filed under: uncultured bacterium
Lineage: Bacteria
Description: partial 16S ribosomal RNA
Rfam family: Bacterial small subunit ribosomal RNA
Source: RNAcentral
GAACGAACGCUGGCGGCAUGCCUAACACAUGCAAGUCGAACGAUCCCUUCGGGGAUAGUGGCGCCCGGGUGCGUAACGCGUGGGAACCUGCCCUUAGGUUCGGAAUAACUCAGAGAAAUUUGAGCUAAUACCGGAUAAUGUCUUCGGACCAAAGAUUUAUCGCCUUUGGAUGGGCCCGCGUUGGAUUAGCUAGUUGGUGGGGUAAAGGCCUACCAAGGCGACGAUCCAUAGCUGGUCUGAGAGGAUGAUCAGCCACACUGGGACUGAGACACGGCCCAGACUCCUACGGGAGGCAGCAGUGGGGAAUAUUGGACAAUGGGCGAAAGCCUGAUCCAGCAAUGCCGCGUGAGUGAUGAAGGCCUUAGGGUUGUAAAGCUCUUUUACCCGGGAUGAUAAUGACAGUACCGGGAGAAUAAGCCCCGGCUAACUCCGUG